RNAcentral lists this long non-coding RNA (210 nucleotides) under Vitis vinifera (wine grape). Its description in RNAcentral is "long non-coding RNA (VVIN_LNC004678)". The record is from RNAcentral. Lineage: Eukaryota; Viridiplantae; Streptophyta; Magnoliopsida; Vitales; Vitaceae.
UCGAGAGCUCCGGGCUCUAGAUAGAUAGCCGAUCAGGAUACUUUCCGACUCAAGGUGUCGGAUCGAGGCCACUCACAAGUGGCUAGAAUGAUGAAAACGAAAUAUCUCAGGGAUGUGAAUGAUGCAAAUGACUCCGGGUCGUGAGCUCAGGGCUCGGGGUGCUAUGAAUGACUCUGGGUCAAGAUGGAAAAUGACUCUGGGUCGAUGAAU